CCUACGGGUGGCAGCAGUGAGGAAUAUUGGUCAAUGGGCGCGAGCCUGAUCCAGCCAAGUAGCGUGAGGGAUGACUGCCCUACGGGUUGUAAACUUCUUUUGUAAAGGAAUAAAGUGAGGCACGUGUGCCUUUUUGUAUGUACUUUCUGAAUACGGCUCGGCUAACUCCGUGCCAGCGGCCGCGGUCAUACGGAGGGUCCGAGCGUUAUCCGGAUUUAUGGGGUUUAAGGGGAGCGUAGGUGGGUUGUUAGGUCAGUUGUGAAAGUUUGCGGCUCAACCGGAAAAUUGCAAUUGAUACUGGCAGGCUUGAGUACAGUUGAGGUAGGCGGAAUUCGUGGUGUAGCGGUGAAAUGCUUAGAUAUCACGAAGAACUCCGAUUGCGAAGGCAGCUUACUAAACUGCAACUGACACUGAGGCUCGAAAGUGUGGGUAUCAAACAGGAUUAGAUACCCUGGUAGUC
This 460-nucleotide ribosomal RNA is filed under the name uncultured bacterium. RNAcentral's name for it is "partial 16S ribosomal RNA". It matches the Rfam family "Bacterial small subunit ribosomal RNA", at positions 338 to 795 of the family's 1533-position model. The record is from RNAcentral.